AGAGUUUGAUCAUGGCUCAGGAUGAACGCUGGCGGUCUGCUUAACACAUGCAAGUCGAACGGGCUCUUUCGGGAGCUAGUGGCGGACGGGUGAGUAACGCGUGAGAAUCUGCCCUUAGGAGGGGGAUAACGGUUGGAAACGACCGCUAAGACCCCAUAUGCCGAGAGGUGAAAUAGUAUUCUGCCUGAGGAUGAGCUCGCGUCCGAUUAGCUAGUUGGUGGGGUAAGAGCCUACCAAGGCGACGAUCGGUAGCUGGUCUGAGAGGAUGAUCAGCCACACUGGGACUGAGACACGGCCCAGACUCCUACGGGAGGCAGCAGUGGGGAAUUUUCCGCAAUGGGCGAAAGCCUGACGGAGCAAGACCGCGUGAGGGAAGAAGGCCUGUGGGUUGUAAACCUCUUUUGAUAGGGAAGAAGUUCUGACGGUACCUAUCGAAUAAGCCUCGGCUAACUCCGUGCCAGCAGCCGCGGUAAUACGGAGGAGGCAAGCGUUAUCCGGAAUUAUUGGGCGUAAAGCGUCCGUAGGUGGUUGUUCAAGUCUUCUGUCAAAGCGCGGAGCUUAACUCCGUAAAGGCAGAGGAAACUGAGCGGCUAGAGUGCGAUAGGGGCAGAGGGAAUUCCCAGUGUAGCGGUGAAAUGCGUAGAUAUUGGGAAGAACACCGGUGGCGAAAGCGCUCUGCUGGGUCUGCACUGACACUGAGGGACGAAAGCUAGGGGAGCGAAAGGGAUUAGAUACCCCUGUAGUCCUAGCUGUAAACGAUGGGUACUAGGCGUUGUCCGUAUCGACCCGGGCAGUGCCGUAGCUAACGCGUUAAGUACCCCGCCU
This 825-nucleotide ribosomal RNA is filed under the name uncultured bacterium. Its description in RNAcentral is "bacterial SSU rRNA". It matches the Rfam family "Bacterial small subunit ribosomal RNA", at positions 9 to 873 of the family's 1533-position model. The record is from RNAcentral.